UUUCUUAAUAAUUACCAUAACCAGGCUUAAUUUCUAUUAAUAACUCAAUUAAUCAAUUUCUAAUUGAAUUCCCUAUGAAGGAGGGGUUAGGGUUACCGGAAUCGCUCAUUGAGUUUCCAAACCUUCUUCCCGAUACGGCGGCUGUAUCCACCUUCUCCGCCUUUUCCGACGCAUCUCACUCGCCGCCGUUAACAAAUAACAUCAUCUCACCGUCCUCUCAUCUCUCGAUCUCAUCUCUCACAAUAGUAAACCAAUCCUCAACUUUCUCUUCAAGGACGAACGGCGCGGCGGCCAUGUCCUCUUUGGCGAAGACCUUCGUUCAUCGCCACAUUCGUCCUUGCAUCAUUCCCUCUCUCCGACGACUUCAAUGACACACCAACGUCUCUGUCUCAAGUUCUUUCGCUUGUCUCGUUUUCAACGUUUUGAUUUCGUUCUCUAUUGGAGCUCAAUUCGAAUUCGAUGCUUCUUCGACGUCGUGGAGAAGAUGACUAGUUCAACAGCAAGUGUAGUUGAGUUAUUCUGAUCGGUGAAGCGUUGUUGGUGAUGAUGUUAUACGUUGAAGGUUUGUUGCAGGUUGCGUGAUGGAGAGCUUUGCGAGGUAUUGCGAAGAUGAUGAUUGCGCGAUUCUCAGAGUUGAAUAAGGAUUAUGCAGAAUCGUGAAGUGGUGAAGAUUUGAUGGAUAAAGAAUCGGUGAAGGUUGAUGAUGGAGAAGAUUACGAUGAUGAUUCACGAAGGAGGUGGAGUGCGAUGAUUGAAGAUGAUGAAGAGUUUUGCAGAAUUUUCUUGUGAGUUCUUGGAGAAUGAAGGAGGAAGAUGAUUGUAGGCUAUGGUGAUUGGUGAUUCUGUUGGAUUCGAUGCAGAUGAUGAAUUCUGAGGUUAUGGAGAUGAAGAAGCCGAGGUUAAUGAAGGUUUUGUGAAUGAAGAUUGAAGAUUGAAGUUGUUGGAGAUAAUCGCUAUUGCGUUGAAAACGAAGAUUCAAGACUCAGUGAUGAUAAUUAGAGCUUGUUGCGUUGAAGAUUGAAUUGAGAGAGAGGGGAUUCAAAAAGUUUGUUACGAUUCGGUUAUUCCUUUUUUCUGUUCUGAUUAUUUUCUGUUAUGAAAUUCUUUUUGCUGAAUCCAUGAGCAACGAAGCUGGUGAAUCUUGGAUGGAAAAUUAUGAGGAGAGUGUCGAGCCUAGGCGGUUUAUUUGAUGCAGAAUUUUUUGGUUCUUCUGUUGUGAACUGUGUCACUUGUUUGUUUUUUUUUUUGUGGAAUUGUUUAUUAUGACUUGGGUCGGGUAGGUGUACUUGUAAUGAAUAGAAUCUUUUGUAUAUUUUGUAACCCAUGGACACUUGAAUUUUGAAACUUUUGUAUAUUUUGUAACCCUUGGACACUUGAAUUUUGAGUGAGUGAAUGUUUGAAAUUGAACAAUAUUGACUUGAAUGAUA
Long non-coding RNA from Vicia villosa (hairy vetch), 1427 nucleotides. RefSeq lists it as uncharacterized. NCBI's taxonomy places the organism in Eukaryota, Viridiplantae, Streptophyta, Magnoliopsida, Fabales, Fabaceae. The record is from RefSeq and is a predicted model, not a curated record. The transcript has 2 exons.